Molecule: unclassified non-coding RNA, 453 nt
Filed under: Forsythia sp. DH-2011
Lineage: Eukaryota; Viridiplantae; Streptophyta; Magnoliopsida; Lamiales; Oleaceae
Description: partial external transcribed spacer
Source: RNAcentral
GGCUUGUGGGUGUAUGUUGGAUCCCUGCUCGGAGCAGCGACGACAUCUUGUGCACGCCUGUUCAGAAUGACCCUAUUUCAUAAGGUUCGCAGCUGGUUUCCUGUGUUGCAUACCUAUCUCGACGGUAUAGUGUUGCUCAAAACGACCCUCUUUCGCCCUACGCUGCAAGAAGAAUAUCUUGCGGCUGAUGGUGGACCGAAAAGCAUUCGUUGUGUUCCACACUGCCCACCACAUGUGUUGGUGCGGUGUUGGCCCACAACGGCGUGCUCGAAUUCUCGGAUGUGGAAUACUAAGCGGGUAUGAGGCCAUUGGUCUUCUAUCUACCCCAAACAAGCGUUCGACGCUUCGUGCGAAUGACGAUCUUCCUCGUCUUGGUUGGGUCUUCGGGCUCCGUCCAUCCGAGGUCGACGUCAAUAAGGAAUGCUACCUGGUUGAUCCUGCCAGUAGUCAUAU